Hypomesus transpacificus is the source of this 240-nucleotide long non-coding RNA. RefSeq lists it as uncharacterized. The transcript is spliced from 3 exons. The record is from RefSeq and is a predicted model, not a curated record. Lineage: Eukaryota; Metazoa; Chordata; Actinopteri; Osmeriformes; Osmeridae.
GUGAUGCUUGUGUGUAUUUCAGGGGGACCCAGAUGUGAAGGAGGAGUGUGGGCCCAGAGGAAUGAAUGUGAGGGCAGCAGAUUAUGGCCGGGGCAGAUUGUAGUCUGUUGAAACAAAUGGACAAAAAAGGUCCAGCUGUGUGUACGGCACCUGUUGUCUCUGGGGAAGGACCUACUCCAUUGGCUUCCUCCGCUUCUGCAAACAGGCCACCCUCCAGUUCUGUGUGGUCAAGCCCCUGAU